Non-coding RNA from Podarcis lilfordi (Lilford's wall lizard), 72 nucleotides. The record is from the annotation of a GenBank genome assembly. NCBI's taxonomy places the organism in Eukaryota, Metazoa, Chordata, Lepidosauria, Squamata, Lacertidae.
UGGAUAGCUCAGUCGGUUAAAGCGUGGUGCUGAUAAUGCCAAAGAUUUAAGAUUGAUCCCUGUAUGGGACAA